RNAcentral lists this non-coding RNA (29 nucleotides) under Rattus norvegicus (Norway rat). Lineage: Eukaryota; Metazoa; Chordata; Mammalia; Rodentia; Muridae. The record is from RNAcentral.
UGCCUAUUGGAACUGUGGUGUGCUCAAUU